GUGCUUGCACCUGAUUGACGAUGGAUCACUAGUGAGUGGCGGACGGGUGAGUAACACGUAGGUAACCUGCCCCGGAGCGGGGGAUAACAUUUGGAAACAGAUGCUAAUACCGCAUAACAACAAAAGCCACAUGGCUUUUGUUUGAAAGAUGGCUUUAGCUAUCACUCUGGGAUGGACCUGCGGUGCAUUAGCUAGUUGGUAAGGUAACGGCUUACCAAGGCGAUGAUGCAUAGCCGAGUUGAGAGACUGAUCGGCCACAAUGGAACUGAGACACGGUCCAUACUCCUACGGGAGGCAGCAGUAGGGAAUCUUCCACAAUGGGCGCAAGCCUGAUGGAGCAACACCGCGUGAGUGAAGAAGGGUUUCGGCUCGUAAAGCUCUGUUGUUGGAGAAGAACGUGCGUGAGAGUAACUGUUCACGCAGUGACGGUAUCCAACCAGAAAGUCACGGCUAACUACGUGCCAGCAGCCGCGGUAAUACGUAGGUGGCAAGCGUUAUCCGGAUUUAUUGGGCGUAAAGCGAGCGCAGGCGGUUGCUUAGGUCUGAUGUGAAAGCCUUCGGCUUAACCGAAGAAGUGCAUCGGAAACCGGGUAACUUGAGUGCAGAAGAGGACAGUGGAACUCCAUGUGUAGCGGUGGAAUGCGUAGAUAUAUGGAAGAACACCAGUGGCGAAGGCGGCUGUCUGGUCUGCAACUGACGCUGAGGCUCGAAAGCAUGGGUAGCGAACAGGAUUAGAUACCCUGGUAGUCCAUGCCGUAAACGAUGAGUGCUAGGUGUUGGAGGGUUUCCCGCCCUUCAGUGCC
RNAcentral lists this ribosomal RNA (803 nucleotides) under uncultured bacterium. RNAcentral describes it as "bacterial SSU rRNA". It matches the Rfam family "Bacterial small subunit ribosomal RNA", at positions 64 to 847 of the family's 1533-position model. The record is from RNAcentral.